Molecule: ribosomal RNA, 468 nt
Filed under: uncultured bacterium
Lineage: Bacteria
Description: partial 16S ribosomal RNA
Rfam family: Bacterial small subunit ribosomal RNA
Source: RNAcentral
GACGAACGCUGGCGGCGUGCUUAACACAUGCAAGUCGAACGGAAAGGCCCUGCUUUUUUUGGGUGCUCGAGUGGCGAACGGGUGAGUAACACGUGAGUAACCUGCCCUUGACUUUGGGAUAACUUCAGGAAACUGGGGCUCAUACCGGAUAGGCGCUCCUGCUGCAUGGUGGGGGUUGGAAAUUUUCGGCGGUUGGGGAUGGACUCGCGGCUUAUCAGCUUGUUGGUGGGGUAGUGGCUUACCAAGGCUUUGACGGGUAGCCGGCCUGAGAGGGUGACCGGCCACAUUGGGACUGAGAUACGGCCCAGACUCCUACGGGAGGCAGCAGUGGGGAAUAUUGCACAAUGGGCGGAAGCCUGAUGCAGCAACGCCGCGUGCGGGAUGACGGCCUUCGGGUUGUAAACCGCUUUCGCCUGUGACGAAGCGUGAGUGACGGUAAUGGGUAAAGAAGCACCGGCUAACUACGUG